AUCCAACUGACGAGUCCCAAAUGGGUCGAAAUGCGCUUCAAACUGGAU
This 48-nucleotide non-coding RNA is filed under the name Schistosoma haematobium. Lineage: Eukaryota; Metazoa; Platyhelminthes; Trematoda; Strigeidida; Schistosomatidae. The record is from RNAcentral.